RNAcentral lists this ribosomal RNA (119 nucleotides) under Pteropus alecto (black flying fox). The record is from RNAcentral. Lineage: Eukaryota; Metazoa; Chordata; Mammalia; Chiroptera; Pteropodidae.
GUCUAUGGCCAUUCCACCCUGAACGUGUCCAAUCUCGUCUGGUCUUGGAAGCUAAGCAGGGUUGGGCCUGGUUAGUACUUGGAUGGGAGACCACCUAGGAAGACCAGGUGCUGUAGGCA